This 78-nucleotide transfer RNA is filed under the name Nitrosomonadales bacterium. RNAcentral's name for it is "tRNA-Val". It matches the Rfam family "tRNA". From Rfam's summary of the family: Transfer RNA (tRNA) molecules are approximately 80 nucleotides in length. Lineage: Bacteria; Pseudomonadati; Pseudomonadota; Betaproteobacteria; Nitrosomonadales. The record is from RNAcentral.
AGGCGCGUAGCUCAGCUGGUUAGAGCACCACCUUGACAUGGUGGGGGUCGUUGGUUCGAGAAUCAAUCGCGCCUACCA